AUUUAGAAAAAAUGGCCCCUCACACUUGCACCACGUGUUUUGCUGAGUCAGGCACACAGAGAAAUAAAAGACAGCUGUCUUCAGCCACAGAGCCAGCUCUCCAGAAACACUCCAACCAUCAACAACAGCGUGUUCCACACUAUCAUCCUCAACAGACAGACUCUGCUCCAGAUUCACCUGAGAGAUCAAUACUACAAGAGAACAUGAGGGCUGUCCUUGUUCUGUAUAUUGCUCUAAUGAUGGCGGCACUAAUGUGUAAUGUCUAUGCAGAUUGUCCUGGGAGAUGUACUCAUAGAUGUCUUCCACGCGAAUCUGCAACGACAGAUUACUUCUGUGGAGGUGGAUACAUAUGCUGUGUUGUCACAAUGUUCGGACGACCUGCUUAAGGGGAAGGAUCUCUGUGAAUACAUUUCUCCUCUCUCUGAAAUGCUGAAGAUAAAUGUUCAUGUGUUUGUAUUCAGCUGUAGCUGUUAAAUAAACUGCCAAAAGAGU
Molecule: long non-coding RNA, 492 nt
Organism: Sardina pilchardus (European sardine)
Lineage: Eukaryota; Metazoa; Chordata; Actinopteri; Clupeiformes; Clupeidae
Exons: 4
Source: RefSeq, a predicted model, not a curated record